GUCGAACGCUGGCGGCAGGCCUAACACAUGCAAGUCGAACGAGAGGCGGAAUGGUGAGUAAUGUCUUGGAAACUGCCUGACGUAGGGGGAUGACGACUGGAAACGGUAGCUAAUACCGCAUACCAUGGGAUGUGGCCAGAGGGGAUGAGCUAGUAGGUGGGGUAAAGGCUCACCUAGGCGACGAUCCCUAGCUGGUCUGAGAGGAUGACCAGCCACACUGGGACGGAGACACGGUCCAGACGCCUACGGGAGGCAGCAGUGGGGAAUAGUGAACAAUGGGCGAAAGCCUGAUCCAGCCACGCCGCGUGUAUGAAGAAGGCCUUCGGGUUGUAAAGUACUUGUGGCGGUGAGGCGUUAACCACAGAACAAGCAACGGCUAACUCCGUGCCAGCAGCCGCGGUAAUUC
This 406-nucleotide ribosomal RNA is filed under the name uncultured bacterium. RNAcentral's name for it is "partial 16S ribosomal RNA". It matches the Rfam family "Bacterial small subunit ribosomal RNA", at positions 28 to 526 of the family's 1533-position model. The record is from RNAcentral.